GAUGAAUGCUGGCGGCAUGCCUAAUACAUGCAAGUCGAGCGGUAACAUGAGUAGCUUGCUACUUGAUGACGAGCGGCGGACGGCUGAGUAACGCGUGGGAACGGACCCCAAACUGAGGGAUAACUAGUCGAAAGAUUAGCUAAUACCGCAUGUGAUCUACGGAUUAAAGUCUUCGGACGGUUUGGGACUGGCCUGCGUACGAUUAGAUAGUUGGUGAGGUAAUGGCUCACCAAGUCGACGAUCGUUAGAUGGUUUGAGAGGAUGAUCAUCCAGACUGGGACUGAGACACGGCCCAG
This 296-nucleotide ribosomal RNA is filed under the name uncultured bacterium. RNAcentral's name for it is "partial 16S ribosomal RNA". It matches the Rfam family "Bacterial small subunit ribosomal RNA", at positions 28 to 334 of the family's 1533-position model. The record is from RNAcentral.